AUUCACCAUGUGAGCGGGACGGAAUACAAUGGAAAGAUAUGUAGCUGACAGUGGAAAGUCCAGGAAAUCGAGCGAUUCAGCGGAAAUCAGACAAACGUUCUUUUGAAGACCCGGACCUGGAGUUAUACACUGACUUUGGUUCUUUGCAGAAAUGGGACCUGCUCUCAGGGCCUCACGACCGGCCACUUUUCAAUAUGCCAAGGACGCGGCCUGGAAGUCUAGUGCAACUUCAGGGUGCCGGAUUUUCGUGGCUCUGGAGGCGGGCUGGUUCAAGGCUGGUACUGCCACCUGAUGUGUCGUCGGAGACAGAAGAUUGAAAACAGUGAGCUGGCUGCUGGCUGUGUGCCCAGAGACCCGGGUUCUUCGGGCAUAGAGCUCGAUAAAAGCGACACAACAGACUUUUAACACCAUAAAUCAGCAAGUUGUUUCGUUAUGUCUCCCCUCUUGUUGUGAAAAGGAAACAUCUCUUCUUCCCUUAUUAGGGAGAGAGAGCUUGAGGUAUGUCGAAUUACCAGGCGAACAAGUAGUCUUUGGGGUACUGCAAGCCUGUGUCUUUAUUGGAUGUGAGACCCGACGCAGACUGGGAGACCGUUUCGCUGAACACCUACACUCUGUCCGCCAGAGAAAGCAGGAUCUCCCAGUGGCCACACUUUUUAAUUCCACGUCCAUUCCCAUUCUGAUAUGUCUAUCCAUGGCCUCCUCUACUGUCAAGAUGAAGCCACACUCAGGUUGGAGGAACAACACCUUAUAUACCGGCUGGGUAGCCUCCAACCUGAUGGGAUUAACACGGGGACAGCCAACAAAUUCCUUCCGGAUGAGGAUCAAACAAGGUCGAACCUGUUUCACCGUUGAAAUCGACUUUCCUCGAUCUUUUAGCUCCCGAACUCCAAACUUCACUCUCCACUGAUCUUUAACUGGCAGUAUUAUAAAGAAACUGCCGGCA
This is a long non-coding RNA of Hypanus sabinus (Atlantic stingray), 943 nucleotides long. RefSeq lists it as uncharacterized. NCBI's taxonomy places the organism in Eukaryota, Metazoa, Chordata, Chondrichthyes, Myliobatiformes, Dasyatidae. The transcript is spliced from 3 exons. The record is from RefSeq and is a predicted model, not a curated record.